CACAAGCGGUGGAGCAUGUGGUUAAUUCGACGCAACGCGAAGAACCUUACCAGGGCUUGACAUCCCUGACCGCGUAUGAAAGUACGUUUCACCCUCGGGUGACAGGGAGACAGGUGGUGCAUGGUUGUCGUCAGCUCGUGUCGUGAGAUGUUGGGUUAAGUCCCGUAACGAGCGCAACCCUUGUCCUUAGUUACCAGCACAUAAUGGUGGGCACUCUAAGGAGACUGCCGGUGACAAACCGGAGGAAGGUGGGGAUGACGUCAAGUCAUCAUGGCCCUUACGGCCAGGGCUACACACGUGCUACAAUGGGGGGUACAAAGGGUUGCCAAGCCGCGAGGUGGAGCUAAUCCCAUAAAACCUCUCGUAGUCCGGAUCGGAGUCUGCAACUCGACUCCGUGAAGUCGGAAUCGCUAGUAAUCGUGGAUCAGAACGCCACGGUGAAUACGUUCCCGGGCCUU
Molecule: ribosomal RNA, 458 nt
Filed under: uncultured Pseudomonas sp.
Lineage: Bacteria; Pseudomonadati; Pseudomonadota; Gammaproteobacteria; Pseudomonadales; Pseudomonadaceae
Description: bacterial SSU rRNA
Rfam family: Bacterial small subunit ribosomal RNA
Source: RNAcentral